Molecule: transfer RNA, 73 nt
Organism: Phytophthora infestans T30-4
Lineage: Eukaryota; Oomycota; Peronosporomycetes; Peronosporales; Peronosporaceae
Rfam family: tRNA
About the family: Transfer RNA (tRNA) molecules are approximately 80 nucleotides in length. Their secondary structure includes four short double-helical elements and three loops (D, anti-codon, and T loops).
Source: Rfam
GCCUCGAUAGCUCAGUUGGGAGAGCGUCAGACUGAAGAUCUGAAGGUCCCUUGCUCGAUCCCGGGUCGCGGCA